AAUGCAGGGGAAAAGGGAAAAAAUGAGGAAAAAAUGGGGGAUAAUGGGAAAAAAAGGAGGAAAAUUGAGAGUGAGGAGGAGGAAGAUAAGGGGGAGGAAGAGGAAGAGCAAGAACAAAAAAAUAGGGAAAAAAUGGGGAAAAUCGGAGAAAAAAGUCAAAAAAUGACCAAAAAAUUGGCCAAAACAUGGAAAUUUGAGAGUGAGGAAGAGGAGGAGGAGGAUGAAGAUGAGGAGGAAGAUCCAGGCGGGAAAAACAGGAAAAAAACCGGAAAAAUUGAGGAAAAAAGUCAAAAAAUGAACAAAAAUGAGGCCAAAAAAUCAAAAUUUGAGAGCGAGGAAGAGGAGGAUGAAGAUGAGGAAGAGGAGGAGGAAGAUGAAGAUCCACGCAGCAAAAAUAGGAAAAAAACGGGGAAGAUUGAGGAAAAAAAUCAAAAAAUUAUGAAAAAAGGGGCCAGAAAAUGGAAAUUUGAGAGUGAGGAAGAGGAGGAUGAAGAGGAGGAGGAUGAUGAAGACGAGGAGGAAGAUGAAGAGGAGGAAGAUGAAGAUGCCAGAGGGAAAACCAGGAAAAAAUCGGGAAAAAUUGAGGAAAAAAGACCAAAAUUGACCAAAAAAUUGGACAAAAAAUCGAAAUUUGACAGCGAGGAAGAGGAGGAUGAAGAGGAGGAGGAAGAAGAGGAAGAAGAGGAAGAUCCAAGAGGGAAAACCAGGAAAAAAUUGGGAAAAAUUGAGGAAAAAAGGCCAAAAUUGACCAAAAAAUUGGACAAAAAAUCGAAAUUUGACAGCGAGGAAGAGGAGGAUGAAGAUGAGGAUGAUGAUGAAGAUGAGGAGGAAGAAGACGAAGAUCCAGGCAGGAAAACCAGGGAAAAAUCAGGAAAAAUUGAGGAAAAAAGGCCAAAAAUGGACAAAAAAUUGGCCAAAAAGUCGAAAUUCGACAGCGAGGAAGAGGAGGAUGAAGAGGAGGAUGAAGAU
Molecule: long non-coding RNA, 969 nt
Filed under: Chloebia gouldiae (Gouldian finch)
Lineage: Eukaryota; Metazoa; Chordata; Aves; Passeriformes; Passeridae
Description: Erythrura gouldiae (Gouldian finch) lncRNA (ENSEGOG00005017560.1)
Source: RNAcentral